GAAAUGCGAUAAGUAAUGUGAAUUGUAGAAUUCAGUGAAUCAUCGAAUCUUUGAACGCACCUUGCGCUCCUUGGUAUUCCGAGGAGCAUGCCUGUUUGAGUGUCAUGGAAUUCUCAACUCUAUUUGCUUUUGUGAAUAGAGCUUGGAUUUGGAGGUUUAUUGCUGGUACUUGUGAUCGGCUCCUCUUGAAUGCAUUAGCUCGAACCUUUGCGGAUCAGCUAUCGGUGUGAUAAUUGUCUACGCCGUUGCAGUGAAGCAUAUCAAUGGGCUCGGCUUCCAAUCGUCCUUUACUGGACAAUGACUUUGACCUUUGACCUCAAAUCAGGUAGGAUUACCCGCUGAACUUAAGC
RNAcentral lists this unclassified non-coding RNA (350 nucleotides) under plant metagenome. RNAcentral's name for it is "partial contains 5.8S ribosomal RNA, internal transcribed spacer 2, and large subunit ribosomal RNA". The stretch from base 1 to 105 matches the Rfam family "5.8S ribosomal RNA", at positions 50 to 154 of the family's 154-position model. The record is from RNAcentral.